Non-coding RNA from Caenorhabditis elegans, 129 nucleotides. The record is from Ensembl. Lineage: Eukaryota; Metazoa; Nematoda; Chromadorea; Rhabditida; Rhabditidae.
GGUCAAAAACAAACAUCUCAAGUUGUCACACUGGAGCAACGCGGUGGGGGGGGGGGGGAGGGGGUCAGCUCACGGAAUAGUCGCCUUAAUGAGUGAAGAGCAAACUCGAGAACGACUUGACAGUCGAGU